UUUCAUAAUUCAUGGAUCGUUCGAGGGAAAAUCGAGCUGCAGAAGUAGCCGGAAGUGGUCGUCGAAUCGAAGCAAUUAAUAGUUUACGGAUAAAUUAGAGCUGAAACGAAGUUUCAGCCCUUCUACUUUUUUUCGUUUAAAAAUGCUCCGGAGAAAGUUUUUAACUUUUUUUAAAUUACAGCGUUAAGUACGUCUAUAAUUUCUGUACCUUUACUGAAAAUGUUCGUUUUUUAGCAUUUCCCUCGUAUUAUUCAGGGAAUCGAUUUGCCGUUGCAUGAAACGAGAAAUCGAUAAGAGGAAUGCCUCGUCGGCUGUAUUUCGACAAAACGGCACCGAGUCAGGUGCAUUUAGGAUGAAAAGAGUUGGGAGAAAGGGAAAUCGGGCAAAAGAAGAGGCUUUAUGCGUGUUGCUGUGCAUGAAGACUAAUGCAUCUGCUCACCUGUUUUCACAGAUUACAUACUCUCUCCCUCCCAUAGGAUUCGCGAAUAUAGCGAAAUACAGCGAGUGAAAAACGGUAUUCAUCAAAAUAUUCUGCAAUCGUUCGAAAGAAAAAUGUUUUAUAUAGAUAAUGUGAAACUAUCAUUCAUGUGGGUCACUGGUGACCUAAGUGGUAUUAAACGCGUUGAAACUAUUGAUGCGAAAAUUAAAAGUAUUUAACAACGAGUUAAUAAUAAGAAGUAAAACGAAUUGCGUAACGUAAUUAAAAUACGACACUACACUUCAUUUAAUUAUCAAGUGAAACAUUUUUUAUUUAUCUAUGCAGCGCUUUUGAAUUCAACUUCUUAUCUUCAUUCGUUGAAAUUCUUCGGUAUGGAAUGUGUUUACGCAUAUAAUUGCCUCAGCAAAGCUAAAAAUACAUGAGAUAUCGCAGAAUCAUUUAUUGCAAGUAAUAUGUUGUUACAAAACUAGCCUCCUCUGAUUCAAAGGGUGUCGUUCACCGUAUAUCUCGUCGGAAAAUCACAAAAAACUAAGUAAAUUUACCCAACUGUUUCAACUAGAGCGUAUAUCGAACAAGAUGAAUUCUCAAUGUUUUCUCAAAUGAUUCGCCGCGAAUACUCGAGUACUACACUCGAUGGAAUGUACUUUCAAGAGCAACGGAGAACCGUCGACGUUUCACGAGCCGGACCUGAGACUUUAGGGGAACCCGAGGCGAGCUCCGAAAAAGGACCCCUUCAUAUACAUAACAUAAAAAAAAGUAGCUCAAAUAAAAUUUAUAAAAUUAACAUUAAAGCUUGUAUAACUAAUUUAGAUUUCCAUUUAAAUCGAUUAAUAUUCAAGUAAACAUUACUCUUCUUGCAUUCUUAGACAUUCAUUUUAGGACAUCCAGACCCCUUUCGCUAUAUCGUCAUUUUCCCCGGGGAUGCCUGCGGGGUUGCCUAGAGGGAAGGGCGGGAAAUCGAUAUUCUUUAUACACAAUAAUAAAAAAAAACAAAUAAAAAUAAUUCUUCGAUGAUAAUUCGAAAUGACAGAUAUCAGUUUCGAGUACCAACACUUGAUCUCCAUUCGCUCUUUGAUUCUGAUUAUUGGAAAUAUACAAGGACGGUUUCGAUUCCAUCGACUCUUCAACUGAUCUUCGUUCGCAGUCAUUAAAACUCGUUAUGCAAACUCGAUUUGAAGGGCGAACCAGCAUCGAUGGUUCUCGUAUUGUUCGCCACUUCGCUCUUUAAUUACGCGGUGUAAUGAACUUUGUAAAUGCUUUCCGGUCUGAGGUUACCGAUGGAUAUUCGGAGAAAAAAUGUGCUGGCUUUGAAAUUUCAAUUGCACCUGCUCGUAUUUCAUUAGCGAUCGUCGUUAUUUAAAAAGAUAUAGUUCGGAAAGCAGAAUAAAGUGCAACGGUAAAUCGGAUAGAAACCGGCAAAGCAAAUCCCUACGGAACAACUUAUGUAAUCCUGUGGAGGCCCGUUUUGUACAGCUCUGAGCGGAAGUUACUUUUUAACAGUGAACAAAGCUUUUUCGCUGAUCUGGUUAAUAUCAGUGCUACCGAGAGCACGCGGAAUGCUUGGCAAAUAUACAGGGUGAAGCUAUAACUUUAAAAUGUAGAAUUAUAGCUUGGCCCAAUUGUAUGGGACACCCUGUACAUCAGGAGUCAUGAUAAAUGAAAUAAAAAAUAUGUACGUUUCUGUACUGGCUAAUCGAUAUUUUACGAUACUCUCGCUGGAACGUAAGUACGUAUUCGCGUGUGCCAUUGGCGGAAUUUUAUUUAGCGUUAGAUCUUAUCCUGAUCUUUCCCCGAAGCAAUCAACGAACCAACCUGCACCAUAAUCAGGAAGUUAGGUUCCUUUUUUUUCAAUGUAAAUUGUUUAUUGAUUGCUUGGAAUAUAAAUAA
Molecule: non-coding RNA, 2326 nt
Organism: Osmia lignaria (orchard mason bee)
Lineage: Eukaryota; Metazoa; Arthropoda; Insecta; Hymenoptera; Megachilidae
Source: RefSeq, a predicted model, not a curated record